UAGAUACCCGGGUAGUCCACGCUGUAAACGAUGAGAACUAGCCGUUGGGGAGGUUAAACUCUUUGGUGGCGCAGCAAACGCGUUAAGUUCUCCGCCUGGGGAGUACGGCCGCAAGGUUGAAACUCAAAGGAAUUGACGGGGGCCCGCACAAGCGGUGGAGCAUGUGGUUUAAUUCGAUGCAACGCGAAGAACCUUACCUGCCCUUGACAUCCUCGGAACUUGGAAGAGAUUCCUUGGUGCCUUCGGGAACCGAGUGACAGGUGCUGCAUGGCCGCCGUCAGAAGG
RNAcentral lists this ribosomal RNA (285 nucleotides) under uncultured bacterium. RNAcentral's name for it is "partial 16S ribosomal RNA". It matches the Rfam family "Bacterial small subunit ribosomal RNA", at positions 779 to 1062 of the family's 1533-position model. The record is from RNAcentral.